RNAcentral lists this long non-coding RNA (407 nucleotides) under Androctonus crassicauda. The record is from RNAcentral. Lineage: Eukaryota; Metazoa; Arthropoda; Arachnida; Scorpiones; Buthidae.
AAGGAGGUUGGAGGUACACGUAAACGUCAUUUAAGCUCCAAUUUCAAAUCAUUUUUGGAGCUUAAAUACAUUUAUGAUGUAGGUAGCCAAUAUGAUUAUAGUAAAGGCUUUUUAGACAGCAUAUAUGCUAAUGUGUUAAAUCCAAAAUCUAAGCAUGUAACCCAGAUACCGGAACAAGCAGAGUAUGAAUCGCUGCCAUAUGCCAUGUCAAACUGUAAAAUUGUUAAGGAUCUUGCUAAGAAAGGAAAUAAAAAACUAGCUUAUAAAAGAUAUUCUACAGUAUUUAACCUUCUUAGAAAUGAUAAAGAUCAUAGAAAAGUUGAGAAAAUGCCAGGAGUUUACAGGAUCCUGACAAUAAAUAAUGAAAAUAGUAAAGAAGAAAGUUAUGUAGGCAUGAUUGGAAGACU